GAGUUUGAUCAUGGCUCAGGACGAACGCUGGCGGCGUGCUUAACACAUGCAAGUCUACGAGAAAAGGGUAGCAAUAUCCUGAGUAAAGUGGCGCACGGGUGAGUAACACGUAGGCAAUCUGCCUUUAGGACGGGGACAACCUCGAGAAAUCGAGGCUAAUACCCGAUAAUGCAGCGGCACCGCAUGGUGACAGUUGUUAAAGGCCCGCAAGGGCGCCUAUUGAUGAGCCUGCGCCCCAUUAGGUAGUUGGUGAGGUAACGGCCCACCAAGCCUUCGAUGGGUAGCUGGUCUGAGAGGAUGAUCAGCCACACUGGAACAGAGACACGGUCCAGACUCCUACGGGAGGCAGCAGUGAGGAAUAUUGCGCAAUGGCCGAAAGGCUGACGCAGCGACGCCGCGUGAAGGAUGAAGUCCGUUAGGAUGUAAACUUCUUUUGCAGGGGAUGAAUGUGGUGCCCUCGGGUGCCAUUGACCGUACCCUGCGAAUAAGGAUCGGCUAACUACGUGCCAGCAGCCGCGGUAAUACGUAGGAUCCGAGCGUUGUCCGGAAUUACUGGGUGUAAAGGGCGUGUAGGUGGAACUUUAAGUCGGUGGUGAAAGCCUGCAGCUUAACUGCAGAACUGCCCUCGAUACUGAAGUUCUUGAGUACGGCAGAGGGAGAUGGAAUUCAUGGUGUAGCGGUGAAAUGUGUAGAUAUCAUGAAGAACACCGGUGGCGAAGGCGAGCUUCUAUCAGAGGACUGACGCUGAGGCGCGAAAGCGUGGGGAGCAAACAGGAUUAGAUACCCUGGUAGUCCACGCCUUAAACGAUGGGUACUAGGUGCUGGGCCG
Molecule: ribosomal RNA, 829 nt
Filed under: uncultured bacterium
Lineage: Bacteria
Description: bacterial SSU rRNA
Rfam family: Bacterial small subunit ribosomal RNA
Source: RNAcentral